GAUGAACGCUGGCGGCGUGCUUAACACAUGCAAGUCGAACGGAGCUUACAUGAUAGAGGAUUCGUCCAAUUGACUGUAAGCUUAGUGGCGGACGGGUGAGUAACGCGUGAGUAACCUGCCUUGGAGUGGGGAAUAACACAGAGAAAUUUGUGCUAAUACCGCAUAAUGCAGUUGGGUCGCAUGGCUCUGACUGCCAAAGAUUUAUCGCUCUUAGAUGGACUCGCGUCUGAUUAGCUAGUUGGCGGGUAAACGGCCCACCCAAGGACGACGAAUCAGUAGCCGGACUGAGAGGAUGAACGG
This 300-nucleotide ribosomal RNA is filed under the name uncultured bacterium. RNAcentral describes it as "bacterial SSU rRNA". It matches the Rfam family "Bacterial small subunit ribosomal RNA", at positions 28 to 307 of the family's 1533-position model. The record is from RNAcentral.